Molecule: ribosomal RNA, 463 nt
Filed under: uncultured bacterium
Lineage: Bacteria
Description: partial 16S ribosomal RNA
Rfam family: Bacterial small subunit ribosomal RNA
Source: RNAcentral
GACGAACGCUGGCGGCGUGCUUAACACAUGCAAGUCGAGCGGAAAGGCCACUUCGGUGGUACUCGAGCGGCGAACGGGUGAGUAACACGUGAGUAAUCUGCCCCUGGCUUUGGGAUAGCCACCGGAAACGGUGAUUAAUACCGGAUAUGACACAUUCUCGCAUGAGUUUGUGUGGAAAGUUUUUCGGCCAGGGAUGUGCUCGCGGCCUAUCAGCUUGAUGGUGAGGUAAUGGCUCACCAUGGCUUCGACGGGUAGCCGGCCUGAGAGGGUGACCGGUCACACUGGGACUGAGACACGGCCCAGACUCCUACGGGAGGCAGCAGUGGGGAAUAUUGGACAAUGGGCGGAAGCCUGAUCCAGCAACGCCGCGUGAGGGAUGACGGCCUUCGGGUUGUAAACCUCUUUCAGUACCGACGAAGCGAAAGUGACGGUAGGUACAGAAGAAGCACCGGCCAACUACGUG